ACGCUUUAGGUUGCUAACAAGUAGGGGCAGGCGCGUCCAAUGACGUCAGGCGCGCCUGGUAGUCUGCGCACGCGCUUUGCCAGGACAAGGGCAAAUCUUUCGGUUUCGUCACAGGUAAGAAAGUAAACACGAAAGGAUGGUGUAAAGUGUGCAGCAACUCUGCUUGGGAAAACCAUGAGAAAUUGGAAGCUCAUAAUUGAGGUCCUUGGUGCAAAACUGCAGAAACACAGCUAAUCAUUGGUCAAGCGAGCUUGACUUUGCCUCGGCUCAGAAUUUCUGGUGACUUGGGAAGAUGACGGUGUAGGAGGAUGCUGGGCUCACCACGUCCUGCAGAUCACUUAUUUUCCACCUACACCUGCCUAAAUAACCCAGAAAACCGCCAGAAGACUAGCAGAACGGAUUCUCUGGAGCCAAGUGCAGACGAGAGGACCACGGAAGAGGAGGACUGAGAUGUGUGGAUCUGGGCUGUGUGGAACUUGGUUCAAACAUAUGAUUCGAGGGAAAAAAUAUCCAAUUCAUCACUGUAUGCUCUUUGGGUUUCAGACUACUGAAUCUUAUAGCUCAUGCAAAGACUCUGCCCAGAGAGCCUAACAGAGAGAAAGCACAAGCUGGGGAGCGGCAGAGACGGAGAGGGAGACAGGAACCAAACCGGG
Felis catus (domestic cat) is the source of this 653-nucleotide long non-coding RNA. RefSeq lists it as uncharacterized. The record is from RefSeq and is a predicted model, not a curated record. NCBI's taxonomy places the organism in Eukaryota, Metazoa, Chordata, Mammalia, Carnivora, Felidae. The transcript is spliced from 4 exons.